AAAAGAAUUAAAAAGAUGUUGAGAAUUUGAUUAAUUUGCUGAUCUCUGUUUUCUAACUUUCUAUAUUUUGACUUCUAUAAUCCAUACAAAUGCAUUUAUAGACUUUUUUAUAUAUACUGAAUAAAAAUAGAAAAGGAAUUCAUUAAAUACUCUUUAAAGAGGAGGGCCUUUAUAUUACAGGGUAAAGAGCUGAUCAUUUGGGGGGAAAAUUGAUUAGUCUUGUAACCAAGCUGUUGUUUAAAGAAAAUCUUUUUUUUUUUUUUAAGGUGGACCAAAUUGCGAAUUAACAUGCUUCCUGCUACAAUAAUUUGUGAGCCAAUUUCAGAGUGCUUUGUUGCCAGUUUAAUUAUCGGAUGGGCAGCCCACCAUGUAUUCAGAUGGGAUAUUAUGGUAUUUUUCAUGUGUCAUUGCCUGGCAUGGUUUAUAUUUGACUACAUUCAACUCAGGGGUGUCCAGGGUGGCACACUGUGUUUCUCAAAACUUGAUUAUGCAGUAGCCUGGUUCAUCCGUGAAUCCAUGACAAUAUACAUUUUUUUGUCGGCAUUAUGGGACCCUACCAUAAGCUGGAGAACUGGUCGCUACAGAUUGCGCUGUGGAGGCACAGCGGAGGAAAUUCUAGAUGUAUAACGACAGCUUUGUGACUGUACAUAAAGGAAAAAAAGAGAAGUAUUAUAAAUUAUGUUUAUAUAAAUGCUUUUAAAGAUCUACCUUCAGUAGUUUUAUCACAUGUAUGUUUGAUAUCUGUUCUUUAAUUUAUUUUGCAUGGCACUUGCAUCUGUGAAGAAAAAAAAAAACACAUCUGUAGUCUUGGCCAAAUGGUACACUUUAUUUUGUGGAAGUAGUGAAUCAAGAGAAUUGGUUCUAGGAACCUGGGUUUGGUUUUUGUUGUUGUUUGUUUAUUUUUUAAAAAUAAAUAAAUAUAUAUAUAUAUAAAAUAUAUGAAUGCUCUGCAACAAACACUAUGACAGUAUCCUUCAGUAGAGAAAGUUUCUUAUUUGUGAGUACACUCUUUUAGAACAUUCAUGGGAUGGCAGCAGCUUUGUUUUGGGGUUUAGGAAAGGCUAGAAAGUAAUCCCUUUACGUGUCUAAAGUGAAAGGUAUUAUGUGGUGGACAGCCCACAGCGGGGUACUAACUAAGAAACUUUUUCAUGCUCUAUGCCUACCUCUUGUAGUUGUUGCAGAGCAAAUAUAAAUUGUAAUAAGGUAGCUAGGCCUUGCAAAAACAAAUGGGAAAACUUUAAAAAUAAUAAUAAAAGAGCUGGAGUCUAGUAUUUAUAUGAAUCUGUGAGAGAGAUUUUUUUGGUCUCACUGCAAUGAACCAAAAGUGGUUGAGUUGGGUUUUUAAUUGUAGCCAUGUAUUGAAGGCAUCCUUUUGACCAACUCCUGUUGGUUCUGUCUUGAACCAUUGUUAAUCACUGUGCUGGUAAACCUUUCCUUCCUUGCUCCUUACCCGACCCCACCCCAUCUUUCCUGAACUUUUUUUGGGGGGGGGGGCGGUGGUGGUGGUUUUGUUUUAGUGUGAGUGGAUGUUUUGAUAGUUGUGAGGAAAAAUGCAUUUCAGACACAUUUCACACAUGAGCUAUUUUCUUACACAGUAUGUCUUAUUGUUAAAAAGAAUGUAAUUUCAUGAUACAGGUAUUUAAUAUCUUUUUUAAGUAAAUAUUCUAGCCAUCAAAUAAAUUGCAGUAGAGUAUUAAGUGGGGACAAGAUGAGUUUUCCUCUUAAAAUUAAUCAGUAUCAAACUAAGUCUACUGUGUAUGUGUUUUUUUUUUUAACUCUUACAGUUAGUCUAGUCUUAUUUAAAUUGGAUUUUUGUAUUCCAGUUUGUAUGACAGAAUAGACUAGAUUGGCGCUAGUUGUAAAUGCAUGCUGUCUUUCACUCUUCUCUCCCCAUCCUGCCGCUAAACUUGCUUGUCAGGUUGUACUUAACUUGUGGUGAACUGGACUAGUUACUGUUUUUUUUAAAAAAAAAAUAGGCAAAAUGUAAGGGACAGUGCAUAAGCCUUUUUUCUUCUGUAGUGGAAUUUUUGCUUUUUCUUCAGGAUUGGAUGGCAUGUUGUCCACAUGAACGCCUGCUGCAGGGCUGACGCCAGCAAUAUGGCAGCUUUAAAGUCUAAGUUACUACAGUUUCCGUGUCAAAGCAUCAUGUGUAGCAUAUCAGCAAUAAUUACAUAUUUAUAGAAAAUGGACACAUUGUCACUGCACUGAGCCAAUUCAUUUAAUUGUCUAAUGACUAACAUGGUUUCAAUUGUAAUGUAGCUAUUAAUGUGUAUAUACUAUGUAUACACAUUAUGUAUAAGCUUUUCUCUGGGCCAAACUGCUUCAUUCAAAAAAAAAAUUUUUUUUUUUUUUUUUUGCGCCUUAUGACAAAUUUGGAGGGCAUUUUUUUCAUGAACAAAGGCUUUGAUGCAUAUUCCUUUCUAUGUGAAAUGGGUAGUAGUGUUCCCUGAGGAAAGUUGCACAGUGAAAACCAGUCUAGUUGUGACCCACUUUGUGUUUUUUUUUUAAUCUCUAUUACACAAGUUGAAUUUUACUGAAUUUGUAAUUUGUCGGUUUGUUUAAUGAAGUUUGGUUGAUGCCAUCUUUUGCACUGCUGAAGUGAAAUCUUGCUUAUUAGUUAGCUUUUUGCUAAUCUCAGUAUGGGCAAUGUAACAACGAAUCCAAAUGGCUGGACAGACUUCUUGUGUUUUGUAAAUAUAAAAAUGACUGUUCUGUAUGUGUGUUUUCUGUGGUAAAGUGAAGCUUCGAGUGAAGCUUCACUUAGAGUGAUUCUUUGUUUAGCAAGUUUAGAGUGGUGAUAAUAUGGUAAGAAAUAAUAUAAAUGUUGAAGGAAGCAUCACAACAGAACUGUAGGAGUCCAAAUUUAAAACAAAAAUACCAACAAGUAUCUAGAAUAUACCACGUUUUAUUAUUUAAAAUCAUUGUAUUAAGUUUUUUGUUCAAAAUAAAAAUUUGAAUACAAUCAAAACAUUAACAAUAAUGUAUUUUUGUUUACUGUCUUUCCUUUUUUUAUUUUAUAUUUUUGUAAAUAACAUGUUCCACCAUUCAUAGCAGAAUUACUGGGAGAAUUCUGUCAAGUGUUAAUUUUGAAAUCUUCCUUUUUACCUGCACUACAGUCAGGCUUAUGGCUUCACAUUGGGCUUUUCCACGUUGGUUGCAUGUUAGAACCACCCAGAGAACUUUAAAAAAAAAAAAAA
Leptonychotes weddellii (Weddell seal) is the source of this 3197-nucleotide long non-coding RNA. RefSeq lists it as uncharacterized. NCBI's taxonomy places the organism in Eukaryota, Metazoa, Chordata, Mammalia, Carnivora, Phocidae. The record is from RefSeq and is a predicted model, not a curated record.